Non-coding RNA from Zopfochytrium polystomum, 82 nucleotides. The record is from the annotation of a GenBank genome assembly. NCBI's taxonomy places the organism in Eukaryota, Fungi, Chytridiomycota, Chytridiomycetes, Chytridiales, Chytridiaceae.
GUCAACGUGGCCGAGUGGUUAAGGCGACAGACUUGAAAUCUGUUACCCUCUGGGUGCGUAGGUUCGAACCCUGCCGUUGACG